Molecule: long non-coding RNA, 1492 nt
Organism: Paramormyrops kingsleyae
Lineage: Eukaryota; Metazoa; Chordata; Actinopteri; Osteoglossiformes; Mormyridae
Source: RefSeq, a predicted model, not a curated record
CCUACUGCCACAGUCACAGAGGACUUCAGAUAAGCCAGGAACUGCCUGAGAGCUUUACGAGGUGGAAUCCAAGGAUGCUGGGUAAUGAUGACCCCCCUUCCCUCAUACAUCACAGGAUGCUGGGUAACAAUGACCCUCCUUCCCUCAUACAUCACAGGAUGCUGGAUGUCACCUGGAUCCUGAAACCAGGACACCACCCUUGGGAAGGAAGGAGAAUCAAAACUCAGAUAGCGAUGAGCCUACCCAGAAAAGGCGUAGGGCGGGGCCCAUGGAGGGAGAGGGGAGGGGCCAAGCUGUAGGAGAGAUUUAAUUUCUGCAGCCUCAGAUCCGUAAGAUUCAAUGUGCCUGUUUUCAGCUUCAACUGUUCCUCAGUUUAGCAAUACCGGUUCUGCAGUUCCUAUUCCGGUGGAGGACAAACCUUACAAAGCUGACUCACGAUAAUGAUUUUUUUUUUUCUCCAUGGAACCUGAACAGACAAGAAGAAUGCAGUCCGGAUCUAAAGAGAGUGGCCAUGCUUGUACAACUCUGAUGCAUUCUGCUUGCCCACUGGGAACUGUAAAGGCAUUGAUGUCGUCUGCCUGUGUGGAGGUAUAUGUACAGAUGACUCCCAGUCCCACUCUCAGGCCCUGUACAAGAUACAAAUGUACAAACUCCACUGUCACUUGUCAGUAGAGAGCUUGCUGUCUAGAUAUUAUUAAUUGCUGCAGCCACCCUACCUGACGGGCUCAACAAGGGAGGUGUCACCAGCUGGAAGCUAUCUAAUGGUGCCGCUUAUUCGGGAGGGGUAGGCCAGCCCCAACAAGGAAUAUGGAAAUGGAACUUGCCCAGAGAUGAAUGGACCAUAAGCUGCACUUGUGUUUUGAACCAAGGGGGUGUAUAUUUUGCCCCCCACUGAGUCUUCCUGCUAUAUCAUAUGUGUUCCAAGUCGACAUAAAGCUAAGGAGAGCGAUGUUCAACCUGCACAGUGCGGAGGGUAGUUUUACAGACACUAUCCCAUGGCCAAAUCUACACGUUUGGCCUUUAUAACAUUAAAUGGUUUUGGAGGUUUUCAAUUUCCUGGCUGGUUUUUCAGUUUGCAAAUAAAUGUAUAUCGAAAUGCUUUUCAAGAUAUUGACAUUCAAAUACUAAUUGCUGAGCAUUUCUUUUGUUCUUGCCCUUUAGAUAUAUGUCUGGUUUCUUCUUCUUUUUAGAUAAUCUUUUCUGUUUUGGCAGCUUUACAGAUAACCUUUUUGCCUUGCCAAUACAGAUUUCUCUGGUGAGAGUUGCUUGCAGAGAAUGAAGAAAAAUAAAUGCACAUUCAUGUCGCAUCAAGUUUUACUGUCACUCCCAGGUAACGCCUGGAAAUAAGGCUAUUGCUGAAGCGGCACAACAUUUAGCUAGGGGGUGGAGGGAGGGGUCAGGGCGAUGUGACUAGACUUGUCUAGUCUACAGAGAAUUGGAGCUGCUGGUUUUCACAUCAGAAACACCAUUUGCAUUUUUUUAGGUGAUUAUU